AUGAAAGUCUUCUUGGAGCUUUUGCCUGGGCCAUUUGGGAUCUGUAUGUUGGCCAUUGUCCCCCCUUCACAUUAUAUGUUUUUAAAUUUAUUUCGUGGUCUUGCUAUGGUUUUUGUUUUCAUUUUGCCAAAGGUUGCAGUAUGGAAACCAUCCUCUAUCUCUAUAUCAAUACCACUAUCUUUUUCACCAUCUUCGGACAUCAUGACAUUAAUUCGAUUUGAUACCUCAUGUUCUUUACUUCACACUCUUAGUAAUUCCUUAUUCGUAACUAUUGUUUUCAAAGUUGCAUAUAUUUGUGAUCAUAGACAUCCGAUGGUUCCACAUUUUUCUUGGUAA
Molecule: ribosomal RNA, 336 nt
Filed under: Triticum aestivum (bread wheat)
Lineage: Eukaryota; Viridiplantae; Streptophyta; Magnoliopsida; Poales; Poaceae
Description: partial small subunit ribosomal RNA
Source: RNAcentral